GAAAGAGAGAGCGAGGAAGGGAAGAAGAAAGAACGUGACCACAAGGUUGGAAUCCGUCUCCUGUAUUUUAUACAUUUCUUAAUGGUCCUUUGUGCUGUGAUCCCGUGUUAUCCUCGGUCUUCCCGCUUACCUUCGUCUUCGAUCUGCAAGCGUUGAAUCAGCCACUCCAGCAAGUCUUGUCCUGCAGGGAGAUCAGGCAGCAGGAUCCUGCAUCUCAAUCACCAGAGAUUCGAUCUGCCAGGAAACGCGGGGAGACAGGAGAGGAAAAAGGUCAUCGGUUCAGAGGGAAGCUUUAAAAAAGAGGAAGAAGAGCGCCUCUGAGGGAAGAGAGAAAAAGAGGACAAGUCCAGCUCUCGCCGGAGUGGACCGCAAAGAGACAACAUACCAAGACAAUCCAAAGAGGUACCUCCUGUGCCAGCCUUAGAACCUCAUCACGACUCCCUACCUGCUCGGUAGUAUCUCUCCUACUUACUAAAACACGUACCCAACAUACAACACAGUUAGAUAUUAUUUA
Long non-coding RNA from Callorhinchus milii (elephant shark), 514 nucleotides. RefSeq lists it as uncharacterized. The transcript has 3 exons. NCBI's taxonomy places the organism in Eukaryota, Metazoa, Chordata, Chondrichthyes, Chimaeriformes, Callorhinchidae. The record is from RefSeq and is a predicted model, not a curated record.